RNAcentral lists this ribosomal RNA (257 nucleotides) under uncultured bacterium. RNAcentral's name for it is "partial 16S ribosomal RNA". It matches the Rfam family "Bacterial small subunit ribosomal RNA", at positions 524 to 776 of the family's 1533-position model. The record is from RNAcentral.
UACAGAGGGUGCGAGCGUUUGUUCGGAAUUAUUGGGCGUAAAGGGCGCGUAGGCGGCGCCACAAGUCACCUGUGAAAACUCUGGGCUCAACCCAGAGCCUGCAGGCGAAACUGUGGUGCUGGAGUAUGGGAGAGGUGCGUGGAAUUCCCGGUGUAGCGGUGAAAUGCGUAGAUAGUCGGGAGGAACACCUGUGGCGAAAGCGGCGCACUGGACCAUAACUGACGCUGGAGGCGACGAAAGCUAGGGGAGCAAACAGG